ACAAACUUGGUCAUUUAGAGGAAGUAAAAGUCGUAACAAGGUUUCCGUAGGUGAACCUGCGGAAGGAUCAUUACAGAAAUAAACUUGAUGGAUUGUUGCUGGCUCCCCCGCGAGUAUCGUGCACGUCUGUCAUUUUUAUCUUUCCACCAUGUGCACUCCGCAUAGGUCUGACUUUGCUCUUGGGAAUUGCAAAUUCGCGUUUGCUCUCUCCCUAUUUUUCAGGCUCUAUGUUUUAUUCUUACACACACCAUGUAUGUUAACGAACGCAUGAAGGGCAUUCGUGCCUAUAAAACAAUAAUACAACUUUCAGCAACGGAUCUCUUGGCUCUCGCAUCGAUGAAGAACGCAGC
This 350-nucleotide unclassified non-coding RNA is filed under the name uncultured fungus. RNAcentral describes it as "partial contains small subunit ribosomal RNA, internal transcribed spacer 1, and 5.8S ribosomal RNA". The stretch from base 1 to 73 matches the Rfam family "Eukaryotic small subunit ribosomal RNA", at positions 1759 to 1831 of the family's 1831-position model. Lineage: Eukaryota; Fungi. The record is from RNAcentral.